Molecule: ribosomal RNA, 497 nt
Filed under: uncultured bacterium
Lineage: Bacteria
Description: partial 16S ribosomal RNA
Rfam family: Bacterial small subunit ribosomal RNA
Source: RNAcentral
GAUGAACGCUGGCGGCGUGCCUAAUACAUGCAAGUCGAGCGAACAGACGAGGAGCUUGCUCCUCUGACGUUAGCGGCGGACGGGUGAGUAACACGUGGAUAACCUACCUAUAAGACUGGGAUAACUUCGGGAAACCGGAGCUAAUACCGGAUAAUAUAUUGAACCGCAUGGUUCAUUAGUGAAAGCCGGUUUUCCUUUCACUAUUAGAUGGAUCCGCGCCGCAUUAGCUAGUUGGUAAGGUAACGGCUUACCAAGGCAACGAUGCGUAGCCGACCUGAGAGGGUGAUCGGCCACACUGGAACUGAGACACGGUCCAGACUCCUACGGGAGGCAGCAGUAGGGAAUCUUCCGCAAUGGGCGAAAGCUUGACGGAGCAACGCCGCGUGAGUGAUGAAGGUCUUCGGAUCGUAAAACUCUGUUAUUAGGGAAGAACAAAUGUGUAAGUAACUAUGCACGUCUUGACGGUACCUAAUCAGAAAGCCACGGCUAACUACGUG